This is a long non-coding RNA of Sebastes umbrosus (honeycomb rockfish), 1768 nucleotides long. RefSeq lists it as uncharacterized. The transcript is spliced from 2 exons. The record is from RefSeq and is a predicted model, not a curated record. NCBI's taxonomy places the organism in Eukaryota, Metazoa, Chordata, Actinopteri, Perciformes, Sebastidae.
AUAAUAAUGUAGUUGGGCUUUGAAACAUUUUCUUAAAUUAUUCAGAAUUUAUUGGUUCAUUCAUAUAUAUUUUACACAAUGGUAUGCAUACCGUAUGUUUAUUCAAUAUUGAACACUUGAGGCCUCCAUAGUUUUAUUUGCUAUUUUCAAAGUAAUGUGUCAGUGAAUGGUUAAAGGGGUUCAUGGUUGAAGUGACAGAGCGAGGAGGUAUGGGUAUAAUUAUGUGAGUGUAUAUCAGUGCUGGGUAGAGUUGUGUAACUGUUUGAGGUGUGAGCAGAGAGACAUAUGUAGGUUCAUACUUUUGGUAAACAUCUCUGGUAUGUGUACGAGACGUCACACCCUUAGUUAGUAUCAUUUUGAAUGUGGCAGGUCUUGCACAAGAAUGCUGUGAAAUGAUGAGAUGUGAUCAUAAGGUGCGUUAAUCCUAGGAAUGCUGAAUGUCUGGUCAGAGUCACAUAGUUUUUAUGUUUUCCUUUGCACCUUUUAACCGUCACAGGGACAGUGUUUCCUGAAUAUUGUGCACAAGCUUUUUUAACCACACCUACUUACAUUUCUCUAGAGCUGUUUUAAUUUUCAUUUUGACAAAUAAAAGUUUACAUUUCAUGCACAAAAAACACGCUUUUCACAUUGUAGGUAAAAGUGCCAACUGCUGGGGGUGGAUGGACUUGAAAUCAUGCAACCGUGCUUGACUUUUAGCAGCAUCUCGUGAGGUUUUUUGUAGUGAACAAUCUUUAUUUCAGAUGGUCACAUUGUGGCUCGAUCAGAGAUUUUUCUGAAGUGUGUGUGUUUUUUGCAGUAGUGGACAAUAGAGGCUAUUUUGAGGUGUGAUCUGAUCUUUGUAACUGGAGAGGUUUAACUGAAAAAAAAACAUUCCUGUGGUGUGAUAUAACUUUUAUAGGCAUCUAAUAAUUUGACUCAGCAUUGGAGGAGUUGCAAGGUUAGAGGAGGUUUUUACAGAGGUGUCGGACAGGACUUGAAAAGUCUAAUAAUGUGUUAGUAUUAUACAAAUUAGACCCAUCUUUGAUUUUGAGACACUAACCUCCAAGUGGCAGAGAUUUUCCCAAAAUGCAUCUGCAGAUUUUGAAUUGAAACUUAAUUUUUAACUUCACUUUUGACAGUUUUUUUCCCCCCAUUAUUGGAGAUGGGCAUCAUUCAGAACAAGCUUGAAAAAUGUUGAUUUAAGUAACGUUGCUGAGUUAAAUUCUUGAGUUGCCCUGUGUGUCACUGCCUUGAGAGUCAGUCGGUGGGAUGUUUUCUCUCGUAUUCUGCUCGUUAUUUUGUAAUGUGCUUCGUUCUCAAAAGGUGUAGCAAGUGACAGGUGUGUUGUUGUUUCUUUCCAUCAUGUCAGUCAAGAAUUAUUGCUCUUGACAGUUGAAUUUCGUUUGAGACAAUGAAGUUAUACAGUUCUGUCUCAGUGACAAAGAAACUGUUUUUUGGGAGAUGUGACACUGUGCUUAACAAUGCAGUGAAGUGCGUCAUUACAUCCAUUUCUACAUUUCCGCAUAGAGCUCAUAACAUAACCCCGUUUGAUGCCGUGGGCUUAAUGCUGUUAGAAACUUCUGCUAAGGUUUUCCUCCCAUGGGGCAAGAAGUACUUCAGGAUUUAUUUUGCAACGACUGCAACAAAAUAUGAUAUGAGGUAUUAUUCAAACAAAUAUAAAGGUGUGGCUUUUUGUCAUGAUUUAAAUGAGACUGAACUGAAAUUAUGCCAUUGUCAUUGUGCUAAAAUGAAUAUAAAUAUUAUAUAUUAAAAUAUAUUUGCUAACCUA